AACCUUAGAAAAUUUAGAAAAAAGUACAUGUGAUAGUUUAUAUAAUUUUAAAAACUCACUACGAGAAGAACAACACAAGAUAAUAAAUAACAUUGAAAAUUUAGAAUUAGAUAUACAUUACAGUACAGUUAGGAUAAAUUAUUAUACAGAAAUUUGUAACUCUGCAAUUACUACAGGAUAAAAUAAUAAACCAAACAAAUUAAUGAAUAUAUCUUACGAAAAGAAUAAAUCAUUAAAAGAUAUUGAAACAAAAUUUAAGAAAUAUCCAC
RNAcentral lists this long non-coding RNA (269 nucleotides) under Capsicum annuum. RNAcentral's name for it is "long non-coding RNA (CANN_LNC004749)". Lineage: Eukaryota; Viridiplantae; Streptophyta; Magnoliopsida; Solanales; Solanaceae. The record is from RNAcentral.